This 493-nucleotide ribosomal RNA is filed under the name Monostilifera sp. Hoplo_CB180_CBdT0074. RNAcentral's name for it is "partial 16S ribosomal RNA". It matches the Rfam family "Bacterial large subunit ribosomal RNA", at positions 1829 to 2624 of the family's 2925-position model. Lineage: Eukaryota; Metazoa; Nemertea; Enopla; Monostilifera. The record is from RNAcentral.
AGUCUUUUGUGGUUUUAUAAAAGAUGGUUUCUGCUCAGUGAUUGUUAAAUAGCCGCGGUAAUUUGACUGUGCAAAGGUAGCAUAAUAAUUUGCUCUAUAAUUGAGGGCUGGAAUGAAUGGAAUUUCAAGAUCUCUUCUUUAUUGGAGAAAGGAAAAUAAUUUGUUUUUUUAGUGAAGAGACUUAAAUUGUUUUAGGGGACAAGAAGACCCUUUUGAGCUUUAUUAAAAUUUUGUUUUUUUAACUUUUUUUAGUUUGGUUGGGGCGACCGAGGAAGAGUUGUGGAUCUUCCUUUUUUACUUUGAUCCGAUGGUUUCGAUUGAUGGAGUAAGUUACCAAAGGGAUAACAGCGUAAUUUUUUUUGUGAGUUCUUAUUAAAAAAGAAGAUUGCGACCUCGAUGUUGACUUAUGAAUACCUUUUGGUGUAGCCGCUAGUAAAAGGUGGGUCUGUUCGACCUUUAAAAUUUUACGUGAGUUGAGUUCAGACCGGCGUGA